CCUACGGGGGGCGGCAGUAAGGAAUAUUGCUCAAUGGCCGAAAGGCUGAAGCAGCAACGCCGCGUGAAGGAUGAAGGGUCUUUGGCUUGUAAACUUCUGUAAAGAGGGAAAAAUAAUCCCGCAUUGCGGGACUUGAUUGCACCUCUAAAGUAAGCCCCGGCUAACUACGUGCCAGCAGCCCCGGUC
RNAcentral lists this ribosomal RNA (186 nucleotides) under uncultured bacterium. Its description in RNAcentral is "partial 16S rRNA". It matches the Rfam family "Bacterial small subunit ribosomal RNA", at positions 338 to 522 of the family's 1533-position model. The record is from RNAcentral.